UUGGAGGGCAAGUCUGGUGCCAGCAGCCGCGGUAAUUCCAGCUCCAAUAGCGUAUAUUAAAGUUGUUGCAGUUAAAAAGCUCGUAGUUGAAUUUCGGGGUUCUACCGUUGGUCGGGCUUUGUCUGUACUGGUGUGUAGAAUUUCUACCUUCUGGGGAACCAUCAUGCUAUUAAUUUAGCGUGGUGGGAAACCAGGACCUUUACCUUGAAAAAAUUAGUGUGUUCAAAGCAGGCUUAUGCCUGAAUACAUUAGCGUGGAAUAAUAGAAUAGGACGGUGGUCCUGUUUUGUUGGUUUCUGAAUCACCGUAAUGAUUAAUAGGGAUAGUUGGGGGCAUUAGUAUUCAAUUGUCAGAGGUGAAAUUCUUGGAUUUAUUGAAGACUAACUUCUGCGAAAGCAUUUGCCAAGGAUGUUUUCAUUAAUCAAGAACGAAAGUUAGGGGAUCGAAGACGAUCAGAUACCGUCGUAGUCUUAACCAUAAACUAUGCCGACUAGGGAUCGGACGAUGUUAAUUUUUCUUGACUCGUUCGGCGCCUUACGGGAAAC
This 544-nucleotide ribosomal RNA is filed under the name uncultured Glomeromycotina. RNAcentral's name for it is "SSU rRNA". It matches the Rfam family "Eukaryotic small subunit ribosomal RNA", at positions 548 to 1098 of the family's 1831-position model. The record is from RNAcentral. Lineage: Eukaryota; Fungi; Glomeromycota.